RNAcentral lists this non-coding RNA (929 nucleotides) under Perkinsus marinus ATCC 50983. RNAcentral describes it as "Eukaryotic small subunit ribosomal RNA". It matches the Rfam family "Eukaryotic small subunit ribosomal RNA", at positions 1 to 923 of the family's 1831-position model. Lineage: Eukaryota; Perkinsozoa; Perkinsida; Perkinsidae. The record is from Rfam by way of RNAcentral.
CACCUGGUUGAUCCUGCCAGUAGUCAUAUGCUUGUCUCAAAGAUUAAGCCAUGCAUGUCUAAGUAUAAGCUUUAAACGGCGAAACUGCGAAUGGCUCAUUAAAACAGUUAUAGUUUAUUUGGUGAUCGAUUACUAUUUGGAUAACCGUAGUAAUUCUAGAGCUAAUACAUGCGUCAAGGCCCGACUUCGGAAGGGCUGCGUUUAUUAGAUACAGAACCAACCUAGGCUCCGCCUAGUCCUUGUUGGUGAUUCAUAAUAACCCGGCGAAUCGCACGGCUUGUCCGGCGAUGGACCAUUCAAGUUUCUGACCUAUCAGCUAUGGACGGUAGGGUAUUGGCCUACCGUGGCGUUGACGGGUAACGGGGAAUUAGGGUUCGAUUCCGGAGAGGGAGCCUGAGAAACGGCUACCACAUCUAAGGAAGGCAGCAGGCGCGCAAAUUACCCAAUCCUGAUACAGGGAGGUAGUGACAAGAAAUAACAAUACAGGGCAAUUCUGUCUUGUAAUUGGAAUGAGUAGAUUUUAAAUCUCUUUACGAGUAUCAAUUGGAGGGCAAGUCUGGUGCCAGCAGCCGCGGUAAUUCCAGCUCCAAUAGCGUAUAUUAAAGUUGUUGCGGUUAAAAAGCUCGUAGUUGGAUUUCUGCCUUGGGCGACCGAUCCACCUUUCCUACGGGAUUGGUCGGUAUCAGGUUUGACCUUGGCUUUUUCUUGGGAUUCGUGCUCACGUACUUAACUGUGCGUUGACCGUGUUCCAAGACUUUUACUUUGAGGAAAUUAGAGUGUUUCAAGCAGGCUUAUGCCAUGAAUACAUUAGCAUGGAAUAAUAGGAUAUGACUUCGGUCAUAUUUUUGUUGGUUUCUAGGACUGAAGUAAUGAUUAAUAGGGACAGUCGGGGGGCAUUCGUAUUUAACUGUCAGAGGUGAAAUUUCUUG